Long non-coding RNA from Dreissena polymorpha, 304 nucleotides. RefSeq lists it as uncharacterized. Lineage: Eukaryota; Metazoa; Mollusca; Bivalvia; Myida; Dreissenidae. The record is from RefSeq and is a predicted model, not a curated record. The transcript has 3 exons.
GCAAAUUCUACAGUGCUUUCCCCUGUAGAUAUUGUCCCAAUGUCUGGGUCAGAGUGCAACCUUGACAAAGAGAUUCGAUGUUCCGUGACUGUAUUUGAAGCGAACGGGGUAAACCAAUCUGGUCCAUCCUCGUUCAGUGAGCCGGUAUAUUUGAUGCGAGACGAAAUGCGACAGUCCAUGGUCUCAAAUGUAUGCGUUAUCAACAACACCUGCUAUUUUGAAUACGAUCAUGAUCCUCUUGACCAAAGAUAUGUUUGUUACCCUGCCUUGGACCCGUUUUCGUGGAAACGUAAUUUGACACUAC